UUACCAUCUGACUCGACAACAGAACAGACAAUAGCAACUGGGCCUCAAAAGAAACAGGAGCUCUGCUCAAUUCCAGUCCCUUCAACCUGCCAUCAGACUAGAGAAUUCUUGGGGGCUACUAGGUUCAGACAUGUACGGAUCCCCAACUUUCAGUUAUGACAAAAGCCCUCUAUGAAGCCACAAAGGGGGGAAAUGGGAUCCUCUUAUAUGGGGGUCAACUAAGCAAAAGGCCUUUGAGGACAUUAAACAAGCACUCACCUGUGCACCUGGAUUAUGGCUCCCUGACCUCACAAAGCCUUUCUUUCAGUAUGUCCAUGAUCUGUCUGGAGUAACUGUGGGAGUUUUGACUCAGAUGCUGAGGACAUGGCACUGUCCAGUGGCCUAUUUGUCCAAACAGCUGGACUCUGUAGCCCAGGGCUGGCCACCUUUAUUUUGAGCUCUUGCAGUCACAGCUCUUCUGGUAUCGGAAGCUGAUAAACUGGCCAUGGGACAAGAACUGGUAGUCAGAGUUCCUCAUUCAAUUUUGACAUUGUUAAAACACUAUUGGUUGACUAAUGAAAAAUUGGUCAAAUAUCAGGACAUGUUAUGUAAAAACCCACAUAUCUAUGUUGAGGUCAUCAGACCUCUAAACCCAGGAACUUUGCUGCCCAUUGGACCUGGAAAACCUGAUCACAAAUGUGUUGAGGUCAUGGAUGAAGUGUUCUCCAGCAGAUCAGACCUAACAGACCAGCCUCUCGAGGACGCUGAUGCAGAGUACUUCACAGAUGGAAGCAAUUUUGUAAAAGAUGAGGUAUGUUUUGCUGGAUAUGCAAUGGUCACUCUGGACUCUACUGUCGAG
Molecule: long non-coding RNA, 838 nt
Filed under: Marmota monax (woodchuck)
Lineage: Eukaryota; Metazoa; Chordata; Mammalia; Rodentia; Sciuridae
Source: RNAcentral